RNAcentral lists this ribosomal RNA (505 nucleotides) under uncultured bacterium. RNAcentral describes it as "partial 16S ribosomal RNA". It matches the Rfam family "Bacterial small subunit ribosomal RNA", at positions 30 to 523 of the family's 1533-position model. The record is from RNAcentral.
AUUGAACGCUGGCGGCAUGCCUAACACAUGCAAGUCGAACGGCAACAUGGUCUAGCUUGCUAGACUGAUGGCGAGUGGCGAACGGGUGAGUAACGCGUAGGAAUAUACCUUGAAGUGGGGAUAACUUGGGGAAACUCAGGCUAAUACCGCAUAAUGUCUAAGGAAGAAAGCUGGGGACCUUCGGGCCUGGCGCUUUAAGAUUAGCCUGCGUACGAUUAGCUAGUUGGUAGGGUAAAGGCCUACCAAGGCGACGAUCGUUAGCUGGUCUGAGAGGAUGGCCAGCCACACUGGAACUGAGACACGGUCCAGACUCCUACGGGAGGCAGCAGUGGGGAAUAUUGGACAAUGGGGGCAACCCUGAUCCAGCAAUGCCGCGUGUGUGAAGAAGGCCUGAGGGUUGUAAAGCACUUUCAGUGGGGAGGAGGGUACUUAGGUUAAGAGCUAGAGUAUUGGACGUUACCCACAGAAGAAGCACCGGCUAACUCCGUGCCAGCCGCCGCGGUAA